CCUACGGGUGGCAGCAGUGAGGAAUAUUGGUCAAUGGGCUUACGCCUGAACCAGCCAAGUCGCGUGAGGGAAGACUGCCCUAUGGGUUGUAAACCUCUUUUGUCAGGGAGCAACGCCGGCUACGUGUAGCCGGACUGAGAGUACCUGAAGUAAAAGCAUCGGCUAACUCCGUGCCAGCAGCCGCGGUAAUACGGGGGAUGCGAGCGUUAUACGGAGUGAUUGGUGUAAAAGGGUGCGUAGGCGGAAUGCCAAGUCAGCGGUAAAAUCGCGGGGCUCAACCUCGCUCCGCCGUUGAAACUGGCGUUCUGGAGUGGGCGAGAAGUAUGCGGAAUGCGUGGUGUAGCGGUGAAAUGCAUAGAUAUCACGAAGAACUCCGAUUGCGAAGGCAGCAUACCGGCGCCCAACUGACGCUGAAGCACGAAAGCGUGGGUAUCGAACAGGAUUAGAUACCCUUGUAGUC
Molecule: ribosomal RNA, 460 nt
Filed under: uncultured bacterium
Lineage: Bacteria
Description: partial 16S ribosomal RNA
Rfam family: Bacterial small subunit ribosomal RNA
Source: RNAcentral